GGUUCCAUAGCAUAGUAGUUAGCAUGUCUGCUUUACAUGCAGAAAGUCCUAGGUUCACUCCUAGUGGAGCCA
This 72-nucleotide transfer RNA is filed under the name Pteropus alecto (black flying fox). It matches the Rfam family "tRNA". Rfam says of the family: Transfer RNA (tRNA) molecules are approximately 80 nucleotides in length. Their secondary structure includes four short double-helical elements and three loops (D, anti-codon, and T loops). Further hydrogen bonds mediate the characteristic L-shaped molecular structure. tRNAs have two regions of fundamental functional importance: the anti-codon, which is responsible for specific mRNA codon recognition, and the 3' end, to which the tRNAs corresponding amino acid is attached (by aminoacyl-tRNA synthetases). tRNAs cope with the degeneracy of the genetic code in two manners: having more than one tRNA (with a specific anti-codon) for a particular amino acid; and 'wobble' base-pairing, i.e. permitting non-standard base-pairing at the 3rd anti-codon position. Lineage: Eukaryota; Metazoa; Chordata; Mammalia; Chiroptera; Pteropodidae. The record is from Rfam by way of RNAcentral. RNAcentral also lists the same sequence under 1 other name.